RNAcentral lists this ribosomal RNA (263 nucleotides) under uncultured bacterium. Its description in RNAcentral is "partial 16S ribosomal RNA". It matches the Rfam family "Bacterial small subunit ribosomal RNA", at positions 793 to 1055 of the family's 1533-position model. The record is from RNAcentral.
GUCCACGCCCUAAACGAUGAGAACUGGACGUUGGGAGGAAUUCGCCUCUUAGUGUCGAAGCUAACGCGUGAAGUUCUCCGCCUGGGGAGUACGCUCGCAAGAGUGAAACUCAAAGGAAUUGACGGGGCCCGCACAAGCGGUGGAGUAUGUGGUUUAAUUCGAUGCAACGCGCAGAACCUUACCUGGCCUUGACAUCUUGGGAACCCUGGAGAGAUUCGGGGGUGCCGCAAGGAGCCCAAAGACAGGUGCUGCAUGGCUGUCGU